GCCUUUGUGGUGUAAUUGGGAGCGUACUCGGCGCGUAACCGAGAGGUCCGUGGUUCGAUUCCCGGCGAAGGUU
Molecule: transfer RNA, 73 nt
Filed under: Stegodyphus mimosarum
Lineage: Eukaryota; Metazoa; Arthropoda; Arachnida; Araneae; Eresidae
Rfam family: tRNA
About the family: Transfer RNA (tRNA) molecules are approximately 80 nucleotides in length. Their secondary structure includes four short double-helical elements and three loops (D, anti-codon, and T loops). Further hydrogen bonds mediate the characteristic L-shaped molecular structure. tRNAs have two regions of fundamental functional importance: the anti-codon, which is responsible for specific mRNA codon recognition, and the 3' end, to which the tRNAs corresponding amino acid is attached (by aminoacyl-tRNA synthetases). tRNAs cope with the degeneracy of the genetic code in two manners: having more than one tRNA (with a specific anti-codon) for a particular amino acid; and 'wobble' base-pairing, i.e. permitting non-standard base-pairing at the 3rd anti-codon position.
Source: Rfam by way of RNAcentral